UACGGGAGGCAGCAGUGAGGAAUAUUGGUCAAUGGGCGAGAGCCUGAACCAGCCAAGUAGCGUGAAGGAUGACUGCCCUAUGGGUUGUAAACUUCUUUUAUAAAGGAAUAAAGUCGGGUAUGGAUACCCGUUUGCAUGUACUUUAUGAAUAAGGAUCGGCUAACUCCGUGCCAGCAGCCGCGGUAAUACGGAGGAUCCGAGCGUUAUCCGGAUUUAUUGGGUUUAAAGGGAGCGUAGAUGGAUGUUUAAGUCAGUUGUGAAAGUUUGCGGCUCAACCGUAAAAUUGCAGUUGAUACUGGAUAUCUUGAGUGCAGUUGAGGCAGGCGGAAUUCGUGGUGUAGCGGUGAAAUGCUUAGAUAUCACGAAGAACUCCAA
This 375-nucleotide ribosomal RNA is filed under the name uncultured bacterium. RNAcentral's name for it is "bacterial SSU rRNA". It matches the Rfam family "Bacterial small subunit ribosomal RNA", at positions 340 to 712 of the family's 1533-position model. The record is from RNAcentral.